This 253-nucleotide ribosomal RNA is filed under the name uncultured bacterium. Its description in RNAcentral is "partial 16S ribosomal RNA". It matches the Rfam family "Bacterial small subunit ribosomal RNA", at positions 524 to 776 of the family's 1533-position model. The record is from RNAcentral.
UACGGAGGGUGCGAGCGUUGUCCGGAAUCACUGGGCGUAAAGGGCGCGUAGGCGGCCUGAUAAGUAGGGGGUGAAAUCCUGCGGCUUAACCGCAGGGCUGCCUUCUAAACUGUCAGGCUCGAGCACAGUAGAGGCAGGUGGAAUUCCCGGUGUAGCGGUGGAAUGCGUAGAGAUCGGGAAGAACACCGGUGGCGAAGGCGGCCUGCUGGGCAGUAGCUGACACUGAGGCGCGACAGCGUGGGGAGCGAACAGG